RNAcentral lists this unclassified non-coding RNA (339 nucleotides) under soil metagenome. RNAcentral describes it as "partial contains 5.8S ribosomal RNA, internal transcribed spacer 2, and large subunit ribosomal RNA". The stretch from base 1 to 121 matches the Rfam family "5.8S ribosomal RNA", at positions 35 to 154 of the family's 154-position model. The record is from RNAcentral.
GAUGAAGAACGUAGCGAAAUGCGAUAAGUAAUGCGAAUUGCAGAAUUUCCGUGAGUCAUCGAAUCUUUGAACGCACAUUGCGCCCACUGGUAUUCCGGUGGGCAUGCCUGUUCGAGCGUCAUUUCAACCAUCAAGCCCCAGCGCUUGUGUUGGGGGCCUGCGGCUGCCGCAGCCCCCUAAAAGCAGUGGCGGGCUCGCUAUCACACCGAGUGCAGUAGUUCAUCUUCUCUCCGGUCUUGUGAGGCGGGUUCCGGCCGUGAAACACCCCACUACAUUCAAGGUUGACCUCGGAUCAGGUAGGAAUACCCGCUGAACUUAAGCAUAUCAAUAAGCGGAGGA